Phyllostomus discolor (pale spear-nosed bat) is the source of this 148-nucleotide long non-coding RNA. RefSeq lists it as uncharacterized. The transcript has 3 exons. Lineage: Eukaryota; Metazoa; Chordata; Mammalia; Chiroptera; Phyllostomidae. The record is from RefSeq and is a predicted model, not a curated record.
AUUGAGUAAGGACAUAGUGAAUUAAGGGUGAGUUAAAUUAAAAAAAAAUAGUUUAAUGCUGACCACUUUAUAAGCAUACUUUUGAUAUAUCCCAUAGCUCAGUGUUAUAAUGAUGGAUUUUAGUCAGUCUUCUAAUGAUGGAGUUUGG